Molecule: ribosomal RNA, 1528 nt
Filed under: Klebsiella pneumoniae
Lineage: Bacteria; Pseudomonadati; Pseudomonadota; Gammaproteobacteria; Enterobacterales; Enterobacteriaceae
Description: bacterial SSU rRNA
Rfam family: Bacterial small subunit ribosomal RNA
Source: RNAcentral
AGAGUUUGAUCAUGGCUCAGAUUGAACGCUGGCGGCAGGCCUAACACAUGCAAGUCGAGCGGUAGCACAGAGAGCUUGCUCUCGGGUGACGAGCGGCGGACGGGUGAGUAAUGUCUGGGAAACUGCCUGAUGGAGGGGGAUAACUACUGGAAACGGUAGCUAAUACCGCAUAACGUCGCAAGACCAAAGUGGGGGACCUUCGGGCCUCAUGCCAUCAGAUGUGCCCAGAUGGGAUUAGCUAGUAGGUGGGGUAACGGCUCACCUAGGCGACGAUCCCUAGCUGGUCUGAGAGGAUGACCAGCCACACUGGAACUGAGACACGGUCCAGACUCCUACGGGAGGCAGCAGUGGGGAAUAUUGCACAAUGGGCGCAAGCCUGAUGCAGCCAUGCCGCGUGUGUGAAGAAGGCCUUCGGGUUGUAAAGCACUUUCAGCGGGGAGGAAGGCGUUAAGGUUAAUAACCUUGGCGAUUGACGUUACCCGCAGAAGAAGCACCGGCUAACUCCGUGCCAGCAGCCGCGGUAAUACGGAGGGUGCAAGCGUUAAUCGGAAUUACUGGGCGUAAAGCGCACGCAGGCGGUCUGUCAAGUCGGAUGUGAAAUCCCCGGGCUCAACCUGGGAACUGCAUUCGAAACUGGCAGGCUAGAGUCUUGUAGAGGGGGGUAGAAUUCCAGGUGUAGCGGUGAAAUGCGUAGAGAUCUGGAGGAAUACCGGUGGCGAAGGCGGCCCCCUGGACAAAGACUGACGCUCAGGUGCGAAAGCGUGGGGAGCAAACAGGAUUAGAUACCCUGGUAGUCCACGCCGUAAACGAUGUCGAUUUGGAGGUUGUGCCCUUGAGGCGUGGCUUCCGGAGCUAACGCGUUAAAUCGACCGCCUGGGGAGUACGGCCGCAAGGUUAAAACUCAAAUGAAUUGACGGGGGCCCGCACAAGCGGUGGAGCAUGUGGUUUAAUUCGAUGCAACGCGAAGAACCUUACCUGGUCUUGACAUCCACAGAACUUANNNNNNNNNNAUUGGUGCCUUCGGGAACUGUGAGACAGGUGCUGCAUGGCUGUCGUCAGCUCGUGUUGUGAAAUGUUGGGUUAAGUCCCGCAACGAGCGCAACCCUUAUCCUUUGUUGCCAGCGGUCCGGCCGGGAACUCAAAGGAGACUGCCAGUGAUAAACUGGAGGAAGGUGGGGAUGACGUCAAGUCAUCAUGGCCCUUACGACCAGGGCUACACACGUGCUACAAUGGCAUAUACAAAGAGAAGCGACCUCGCGAGAGCAAGCGGACCUCAUAAAGUAUGUCGUAGUCCGGAUUGGAGUCUGCAACUCGACUCCAUGAAGUCGGAAUCGCUAGUAAUCGUAGAUCAGAAUGCUACGGUGAAUACGUUCCCGGGCCUUGUACACACCGCCCGUCACACCAUGGGAGUGGGUUGCAAAAGAAGUAGGUAGCUUAACCUUCGGGAGGGCGCUUACCACUUUGUGAUUCAUGACUGGGGUGAAGUCGUAACAAGGUAACCGUAGGGGAACCUGCGGUUGGAUCACCU